AUGCAUGUCUAAGUACACAUUUUUAAUAAAAUGAAACUGCGAAUGGCUCAUUAAAUCAGCUACGGUUCCUUUGAUAAAACACAGUUACUUGGAUAACUGUGGUAAUUCUAGAGCUAAUACAUGCAACAAUGCCCUUUCUUUACGGGAAGGGUGCACUUAUUAGAUCAAAACCAACCGGCUUUCGGGUCGAAGUUUUGAUGACUCUGGAUAAUUGUUUCGAUCGCACGGCCUUAGUGUCGGCGACGUUUCUUUCAAAUGUCUGCCCUAUCACACUAUAGAUGGUAGGCAAAUUGUCUACCAUGGUUAUAACGGGUAACGGGGAAUCAGGGUUCGAUUCCGGAGAGGGAGCCUGAGAAACAGCUACCACAUCCAAGGAAGGCAGCAGGCGCGCAAAUUACCCACUCUCAAAACGAGGAGGUAGUGACAAAAAAUAACGAUGCGGGACUCAAUCGAGGCCCCGUAAUCGGAAUGAGUACACUUUAAAUCCUUUAACGAGGAUCAAUUGGAGGGCAAGUCUGGUGCCAGCAGCCGCGGUAAUUCCAGCUCCAAUAGCGUAUAUUAAAGUUGUUGCAGUUAAAAAGCUCGUAGUUGGAUCUAAGGAUUUGGACGGAUGGUACGCUUCAGGGCGUGACUGUCUGUCUGGCCUAUAUCAGUCGUGGAAGCCUUAAGUGCUCUUCAUUGAGUGCUUUUGGUGCCCGACGCCAUUACUUUGAGAAAAUUAGAGUGCUUAAAGCAGGCAUAAUGCUUGUAUACUGUUGCAUGGAAUAAUAAAAUAGGAGUUUGCUUCUAUUUUGUUGGUAUUCGGAAGUAAACUAAUGAUUAACGGGGACAGACGGGGGCAUUUGUAUGGAGGCGCUAGAGGUGAAAUUCUGUGACCGUCUCCAGACAAACUACUGCGAAAGCAUUUGCCAGGAAUGUUUUCAUUAAUCAAGAACGAAAGUCAGAGGUUCGAAGACGAUCAGAUACCGUCCUAGUUCUGACCAUAAAUGAUGCCAUCUAGCAAUUCCCGAAGUUUGCUAGUACGAACUUGGGAGCGGCCCCCGGGAAACCAAAGACUUUGGGUUCCGGGGGAAGUAUGGUUGCAAAGCUGAAACUUAAAGGAAUUGACGGAAGGGCACCACCAGGAGUGGAGCCUGCGGCUUAAUUUGACUCAACACGGGAAACCUCACCCGGCCCGGACACUGUAAUGAUUGACAGAUUAACAGCUCUUUCUUGAUCUGGUGGUUGGUGGUGCAUGGCCGUUCUUAGUUGGUGGAGUGAUUUGUCUGGUUAAUUCCGAUAACGAACGAGACUCUACCCUGCUAAAUAGUACGCUGAUAUAUAUAAAGUCAGUGCUGACUUCUUAGAGGGACUAACGGCGUUUAGCCGUGUGAGAAAGAGCAAUAACAGGUCUGUGAUGCCCUUAGAUGUUCGGGGCCGCACGCGCGCUACACUAACUACAGCAACGGGUAUGAUCCUGGUUAGAAAUGACUGGGUAACCCGAUUGAAUCGUAUUUGUGACAGGGAUCGAGGUUUGCAAUUAUCUCUCGUGAACGAGGAAUUCCCAGUAAGCGCAAGUCAUUAGCUUGUGCUGAUUACGUCCCUGCCCUUUGUACACACCGCCCGUCGCUACUACCGAUUGAACGGUUUAGUGAGGUCCUUGGAUUGA
RNAcentral lists this ribosomal RNA (1648 nucleotides) under Minona ileanae. RNAcentral describes it as "SSU rRNA". It matches the Rfam family "Eukaryotic small subunit ribosomal RNA". Lineage: Eukaryota; Metazoa; Platyhelminthes; Proseriata; Monocelididae. The record is from RNAcentral.